GAGGGGCGGGACGCAGCAAAUUUAGCACGUGGAGGGAACGCUAAGGCCGGUUGCCUAGGUCACAGCGCAGCGUUGUCUCAGCCCCGAGGAAAGUGGGCGGGGCCGGGUCGCGGACACCCCGCCCCCGUCAAAGGCGUGGCCUGGGAUUGGCUCGCUGCGGCCGGGGGCACCUCAAAGGCCCGGACGCCUGAGCCCUGGCCGGGGUAAUCGCACUGGCUCGGCGUAGGGAGAGAUGCCUCUGAUCCCGGGGUCCCCUGCGACCACACAUUCCCCGAUUAUUCGUACAGGCUGCGGUGCGAGCCUGGAGGUCUGGACCCAGGUCGAGUAAAUUCGAGAAACUUCAGCCCUGGGCCCGCACUGGUCUAAGCCCCUGAUAGAAGAGACUGGACUCAACAGUUCUUCCUAACUGUGAAACAGCCUUGAUAAUACGUGUGAAGCUUCCUUGUAAAUGUACACUUUAAGCGAUCUGGGCGGCAGUUCCGGGCCACCUGCCCCUGCAGAUGCUUAGCGUGUGACCCCUGGGGUAGCCCACCUCCUUCUCUGACCACUACCUUACACUCUGCCUGGAUCCAUGUAAUUGAAGGAAGCACACUAGUUCCCUUGCUCACCUGCUCACUUGCUCCAGCUGCCACUUCAUUUCUUGGAUACUAUGCAUGGAAUUGGGAUAAAGAAUGGAAGGACAGACAGGGAAGAACAGAGUGGGGCAAUUCUGUGAAGGGAAUAGUGUGAGAAAACUGACAUUAAUAACCGAGCACCUGCCAGAGUCUGAUUUGAACACAAGGCGCUGUGAUUCCAGGGCUCCGAUCUUUUCCUCUCCACACUGCACCUCUGCUUUUGGAAACUUUUUCUGGGAAUUCCAAACCAAAAGUUUCAAAAACCCAUGAUGUCCCACGUGGCUGGCUCGUUAGUUCCCAGUUGAAGAGGCUGUGCAAAAUCACCUAAUUCCUGCAGCAGGAUAAAAAUCAAUAAUGAAUGGUGCUGUCCCAGAAUGAACACCAGCCUUGCUUAAAGAAAGGGAUCGCGUGACCUUAAAAAGAAGCGAGUUUGCAGACAUCCAAAGAAAGUCACUGGAUAUAUGUUUUAGGGAUAAAAAUAAA
This 1097-nucleotide long non-coding RNA is filed under the name Rhinolophus ferrumequinum (greater horseshoe bat). RNAcentral's name for it is "lncRNA (ENSRFEG00010021344.1)". Lineage: Eukaryota; Metazoa; Chordata; Mammalia; Chiroptera; Rhinolophidae. The record is from RNAcentral.